GUAGUUGUGGCCGAGUGGUUAAGGCGAUGGACUUGAAAUCCAUUGGGGUCUCCCCGCGCAGGUUCAAAUCCCGCCAACUACG
Molecule: transfer RNA, 82 nt
Filed under: Ameiurus melas (black bullhead)
Lineage: Eukaryota; Metazoa; Chordata; Actinopteri; Siluriformes; Ictaluridae
Rfam family: tRNA
About the family: Transfer RNA (tRNA) molecules are approximately 80 nucleotides in length. Their secondary structure includes four short double-helical elements and three loops (D, anti-codon, and T loops).
Source: Rfam by way of RNAcentral